Molecule: ribosomal RNA, 369 nt
Filed under: uncultured bacterium
Lineage: Bacteria
Description: bacterial SSU rRNA
Rfam family: Bacterial small subunit ribosomal RNA
Source: RNAcentral
AACGAACGCUGGCGGCAGGCCUAACACAUGCAAGUCGAACGCCCCGCAAGGGGAGUGGCAGACGGGUGAGUAACGCGUGGGAACCUUCCCUUUGGUACGGAAUAAUUCACCGAAAGGUGGACUAAUACCGCAUACGCCCGAGAGGGGAAAGAUUUAUCGCCAAAGGAUGGGCCCGCGUUGGAUUAGCUAGUUGGUGAGGUAACGGCUCACCAAGGCGACGAUCCAUAGCUGGUCUGAGAGGAUGAUCAGCCACACUGGGACUGAGACACGGCCCAGACUCCUACGGGAGGCAGCAGUGGGGAAUAUUGGACAAUGGGCGAAAGCCUGAUCCAGCAAUGCCGCGUGAGUGAUGAAGGCCUCGGUUGUAAG